This 540-nucleotide small RNA is filed under the name Pan troglodytes (chimpanzee). RNAcentral describes it as "processed transcript". The record is from RNAcentral. Lineage: Eukaryota; Metazoa; Chordata; Mammalia; Primates; Hominidae.
AAACAAACCAGGGCGGGAUGGGAGUGUCUUCUUGGCUGUGGAAAUCGAUCCUCCUACCUUGUCCUGAAGCCACCCGCCGCCUUUCCUCGUCCCUCCCUUCGCGGUGAUUUUCCGGUCCCGGCGCCCGGCGAGGGCGCGCGGCUGGUGUCCGCCCCGCCCGAAAGGGUGGCACCUGUGGAAAUGAAACGGAGAAAUAAGAUCCAGCCUUGUUUAUCAAAGCCAGCUUUUGCCUCUCUGCUGAGUCAGAGCUCUGCAUAUAUUUUAAGAAAAGGCAUUGAGGAACUCAAUCAAACCAGUAUUCUUUUCACACAGGUUUCAUCAGUUUCACCCUUUUCUGUGUGCAGCUGAUUUUAGAAAGAUUGCUUCCUUGUAUGGUAGCGAUAAGUUUGAUUUGCCCUAUGGGAUGAGAACAUCAGCGGAAUAUUUUCGACUUGCUCUUUCAAAACUGCAGAGUUGUGAUCUCUUUGAUGAGUUUGACAAGAAAUCCUGGAGUCUGAGAUAAAAGGGGAUCUCAACAACCCUCAGGAUUCAGAAGUGUUA